GGUCACACCACAUACAGGGUAGAUCCUUACAAUAGGCAACAUACAGGGUAGUCCCUUACAGUAGACAACAUACAGGGUAGAUCCUUACAGUAGACAACAUACAGGGUAGAUCCUUACAGUAGAAAAAAUACCAGGUCACACCACGUACAGGGUAGAUCCUUACAGUAGACAACAUACAGGGUAGUUCCUUACAGUAGACAACAUACAGGGUAGUCCCUUACAGUAGACAACAUACAGGGUAGUCCCUUACAGUAGACAACAUACAGGGUAGUCCCUUACAGUAGACAACAUACAGGGUAGAUCCUUAUAGUAGACAACAUACAGGGUGGUCUUACAGUAGACAAAAUACCAGGUCACACCACAGACAGGGUAGAUCCUUACAGUAGACAACAUACAGGGUAGUUCCUUACAGUAGACAAAAUACCAGGUAACACCACAUACAGGGUAGAUCCUUACAGUAGACAAAAUACAGGGUAGAUCCUUACAGUAGACAACAUACCAGGUCACACCACAUACAGGGUAGAUCCUUACAGUAGACAACAUACAGGGUAGCUCCUUACAGUAGACAACAUACCAGGUCACACCACAUACAGGGUGGCUCCUUACAGUAGACAACAUACAGGGUAGAUCCUUACAGUAGACAACAUACAGGGUAGAUCCUUACAGUCUACAACAUACAAGGUCACACCACAUACAGGGUAGAUCCUUACAGUAGACAACAUACAGUGUAGCUCCUUACAGUAGACAACAUACCAGGUCACACCACAUACAGGGUAGAUCCUUACAGUAGACAACAUACAGGGUAGAUCCUUACAGUAGACAACAUACCAGGUCACACCACAUACAGGGUAGCUCCUUACAGUAGACAACAUACAGGGUAGCUCCUUACAGUAGACAACAUACCAGGUCACACCACAUACAGGGUAGAUCCUUACAGUAGACAACAUACAGGGUAGAUCCUUACAGUAGACAACAUACCAGGUCACACCACAUACAGGGUAGAUCCUUACAGUAGACAACAUACAGGGUAGUUCCUUACAGUAGACAACAUACAGGGUAGUUCCUUACAGUAGACAAAGUACCAGGUCACACCACAUACAGGGUAGAUCCUUACAGUGGACAAAAUACAGGGUAGAUCCUUACAGUAGACAACAUACAGGGUAGUCCCUUACAGUAGACAACAUACAGUGUAGCUCCUUACAGUAGACAACAUACAGGGUAGAUCCUUACAGUAGACAACAUACAGGGAAGAUCCUUACAGUAGACAACAUACAGGGUAGAUCCUUACAGUAGACAACAUACAGUGUAGCUCCUUACAGUAGACAACAUACAGGGUAGAUCCUUACAGUAGACAACAUACAGGGUAGAUCCUCACAGUAGACAACAUACAGUGUAGCUCCUUACAGUAGACAACAUACAGGGUAGAUCCUCACAGUAGACAACAUACAGUGUAGCUCCUUACAGUAGACAACAUACAGGGUAGAUCCUCACAGUAGACAACAUACAGUGUAGCUCCUUACAGUAGACAACAUACCAGUGGACAACAUACAGGGUAGAUCCUUCCAGUAGACAACAUUCAGGGUAGAUCCUUACAGUAGACAACAUACAGGGUAGAUCCUUACAGUAGACAACAUACCAGGUCACACCACAUACAGGGUAGCUCCUUACAGUAGACAAUAUACAGGGUAGAUCCUUACAGUAGACAACAUACAGGGUAGAUCCUUACAGUCUACAACAUACAAGGUCACACCACAUACAGGGUAGAUCCUUACAGUAGACAACAUACAGGGUAGAUCCUUACAGUAGACAACAUACAGGGUAGAUCCUUACAGUAGACAACAUACAGGGUAGAUCCUUCCAGUAGACAACAUACAGGGUAGAUCCUUACAGUCUACAACAUACAAGGUCACACCACAUACAGGGUAGAUCCUUACAGUAGACAACAUACAGGGUAGUUCCUUACAGUAGACAACAUACAGGGUAGUUCCUUACAGUAGACAAAGUACCAGGUCACACCACAUACAGGGUAGAUCCUUACAGUGGACAAAAUACAGGGUAGAUCCUUACAGUAGACAACAUACAGAGUAGUCCCUUACAGUAGACAACAUACAGUGUAGCUCCUUACAGUAGACAACAUACAGGGUAGAUCCUUACAGUAGACAACAUACAGGGUAGAUCCUUACAGUAGACAACAUACAGGGUAGAUCCUUACAGUAGACAACAUACAGUGUAGCUCCUUACAGUAGACAACAUACAGGGUAGAUCCUUACAGUAGACAACAUACAGGGAAGAUCCUCACAGUAGACAACAUACAGUGUAGCUCCUUACAGUAGACAACAUACAGGGUAGAUCCUCACAGUAGACAACAUACAGUGUAGCUCCUUACAGUAGACAACAUACAGGGUAGAUCCUCACAGUAGACAACAUACAGUGUAGCUCCUUACAGUAGACAACAUACCAGUGGACAACAUACAGGGUAGAUCCUUCCAGUAGACAACAUUCAGGGUAGAUCCUUCCAGUAGACAACAUUCAGGGUAGAUCCUUACAGUAGACAACAUACCAGGUCACACCACAUACAGGGUAGCUCCUUACAGUAGACAACAUACAGGGUAGAUCCUUACAGUAGACAACAUACCAGGUCACACCACAUACAGGGUAGCUCCUUACAGUAGACAAUAUACAGGGUAGAUCCUUACAGUAGACAACAUACAGGGUAGAUCCUUACAGUCUACAACAUACAAGGUCACACCACAUACAGGGUAGAUCCUUACAGUAGACAACAUACAGGGUAGAUCCUUACAGUAGACAACAUACAGGGUAGAUCCUUACAGUAGACAACAUACAGGGUCACACCACAUAC
Molecule: long non-coding RNA, 2860 nt
Organism: Haliotis rufescens (red abalone)
Lineage: Eukaryota; Metazoa; Mollusca; Gastropoda; Lepetellida; Haliotidae
Exons: 3
Source: RefSeq, a predicted model, not a curated record